Molecule: long non-coding RNA, 740 nt
Filed under: Marmota monax (woodchuck)
Lineage: Eukaryota; Metazoa; Chordata; Mammalia; Rodentia; Sciuridae
Source: RNAcentral
UGAUUUUAAAAUUUCUUUUAAUUCCAAAUACAAAGUUAUGGUUUGCUGGCAAAAAUAAAGUAAUGUAAAUAGCCCCUGAAACAAAACAGCCAAAAAAAUGCUAGCAAACAAAAAACCUUUAAGAUCUUCUACUCUACCUUUGAAACCUAUGUAUUUAGACUUUCUCCAAAAGCAAAAUAUCUACAAAGUAGUAUAAAUCCUAAGAAUUGGCUGUAGUCAGGGGUUUCACAGAACAGAAUUUGGAAUAAAUUUUUAAGAAUAUAAGAUUUUUAAUUUUUGCCAUUAUUAUUUUGCAGUACUUAGCAUUGAACCCAGACUUGUGCAUGGUAGGCAAGCAUUCUGCUGCUGAGCUAUGUACCCCCAACCCCAGUAUGUAAGAUGUUUGAUUAAAAAUAUUAUAGGAAUAUAUGGCUUCUGAAAAACUCUGCCCAAGAAAUAUUUUGAUCGAUUUGUAGGGUUUACAUGCUUCUUAUAGGACUUAAAAAGGAAGGAAUUCCACAUAUAUUGGGGGUUUCUAGGGGCCCAUUUAGAGGAGUUUGCUUGUAAAAUUAAAGAAGUUUUAUGUAAAGUACCCCAACAACCUGUACUGUAAAAAUAUAAUUUAGUGAAUGGGCCUUUCAUAAUAACAGCAUUAAAUUUGUCUUUUUUCAAAUGACUUUAAUUUUUUCUUUUUCCCAUUUACUUCUAGGAUAUCACUGGGAAUUAGGAAUCAGGCAAUUUUCUUUCUAAUAACUGCAACA